This is a long non-coding RNA of Triticum aestivum (bread wheat), 298 nucleotides long. RefSeq lists it as uncharacterized. The transcript is spliced from 2 exons. The record is from RefSeq and is a predicted model, not a curated record. Lineage: Eukaryota; Viridiplantae; Streptophyta; Magnoliopsida; Poales; Poaceae.
CGACGGCGACGGCGACCGCAUGGUGAUGUCGAUGGCAAUGCGACGACCACGAUGAGAUCCUCCUGCCUGCCCUUCGCCUGACCGGCGGGCGACGGCAACAAAAAUGAUGACUCAGAUCGUUGAGGAAACAGUACAAUAUAUCCAUGGCAUGGUGACCAAGAUGGAUGCAUGCACGGGCCUUGCUAGCUUCCCGAUCGUCUGCACACAUCAGUGCCAUGCAUCAGAACAAAAAAGCAGUAUAUUCAUCCAUCUUUGCACUCCAAUGUAUCAAUGUAAUCCGAUCUAAUUUCUACGUGCA